AGAGGUUCAUGCUUGUUGCAGGUUGGUGACAUCAUUAGCAGGUUUGAGAAGAAGGGCUUCUAUUUGAAAGUUUUGAAGUUCAUCCCGUUGUUGCUAUGAUUUGGGAGGGUAAGAAUGUUAUCCUAACUGGCCGAAAGAUUAUUGGUGCCAC
Molecule: long non-coding RNA, 151 nt
Organism: Prunus persica (peach)
Lineage: Eukaryota; Viridiplantae; Streptophyta; Magnoliopsida; Rosales; Rosaceae
Exons: 2
Source: RefSeq, a predicted model, not a curated record